Molecule: ribosomal RNA, 490 nt
Filed under: uncultured bacterium
Lineage: Bacteria
Description: partial 16S ribosomal RNA
Rfam family: Bacterial small subunit ribosomal RNA
Source: RNAcentral
AUUGAACGCUGGCGGCAGGCCUAACACAUGCAAGUCGAACGGUAACAGCAAGCCGCUUGCUGCUUUGCUGCCGAGUGGCGGGCGGGUGAGUCAUGUCUGGGAAACUGCCUGAUGGAGGGGGAGAACUACUGGAAACGGUAGCUAAGACCGCAUAACGUCGCAAGACCAAUGAGGGGGACCUUCGGGCCCCUUGCCAUCGGGUAUGCCCAGAUGAGAUUAGCUUGUUGGUGGGGUACCGGCUCACCAAGGCGACGAUCCUGAGCUGGUCUGAGAGGAUGACCCGCCACACUGGCUGUGAGACACGGUCCACACUCCUACGGGAGGCCGCAGUGGGGAAUAUUGCACGAUGGGCGCGAGCCUGAUGCAGCCAUGCCGGGUGUAUGAAGAAGGACUUCGGGUUGUAAAGUACUGUCGGCGGGGAGGAAGGGAGUAAAGUUAAUCCCUGGGCACAUUGACGUUACCGGGAGAAGAAGCACCGGCUAACUCCGUG